GUGACCUGGGAAGGAUCAUUA
This 21-nucleotide ribosomal RNA is filed under the name Coprinopsis phlyctidospora. RNAcentral's name for it is "partial 18S ribosomal RNA". The record is from RNAcentral. Lineage: Eukaryota; Fungi; Basidiomycota; Agaricomycetes; Agaricales; Psathyrellaceae.